AUGACUAAAGAUAAUCUUUUAAAGAGAGGCAUUGUAAAACCUCCAGAGUGCUUAUUUUGCAAUGAGCAUGAAACAGUUGAUCAUCUGCUUUUCCACUGUGUGGUUGCUAAACAGCUCUAGGCAGGUAUCUCUGAUGUUUUCUCUCUUGAGUUAGGUACCAUUUACUUGUCAGUUGCCAGAUAUUGGCCAUCACAAAAGAAACACUUAGUCUUAAAUUCAGUAUGUGCUUGUGUAAUGUGGUGCAUUUGGAAGUAUAUAAACUCCAUGAUUUUCAAUAAUGUGAUGUGGUCUGACCUUAAACAAAUUUGGUGGCAGAUCCAUCUAACUCUCAAGAAGUGGAUGAUCCUUUUCAAGGACUCCCAGCUGGAAAAUCUGAAACUCGUCUUGCAGAAGAUAGCAUCAAUACUCACUUCCCCUUCCCUGCUGACAAUGGGAUGA
This 438-nucleotide ribosomal RNA is filed under the name Triticum aestivum (bread wheat). Its description in RNAcentral is "partial small subunit ribosomal RNA". The record is from RNAcentral. Lineage: Eukaryota; Viridiplantae; Streptophyta; Magnoliopsida; Poales; Poaceae.